UACGGGGGGAGCAAGCGUUGUUCGGAUUUACUGGGCGUAAAGGGCGCGUAGGCGGCCAGCACACGUCAGUUGUGAAAUCUCCGAGCUUAACUCGGAAAGGUCAACUGAUACUGUGCGGCUAGAGUGCGGAAGGGGCAACUGGAAUUCUUGGUGUAGCGGUGAAAUGCGUAGAUAUCAAGAGGAACACCUGCGGCGAAGGCGGGUUGCUGGGCCGACACUGACGCUGAUGCGCGAAAGCCAGGGGAGCGAACGGG
Molecule: ribosomal RNA, 254 nt
Filed under: uncultured bacterium
Lineage: Bacteria
Description: partial 16S ribosomal RNA
Rfam family: Bacterial small subunit ribosomal RNA
Source: RNAcentral